GAUGAACGCUGGCGGUGUGCCUAACACAUGCAAGUCGAACGGCAGCACGGUAAGCUUGUGCUCUUACCGGUAGCGGGUGGCGGGCGGGUGACGAAUGCAUCAGCUUCUUCUUUUUCGUGGAGGAUAACGUAAGAACGCUUACGAUAAUACAGCAUACGAUCUACGGGUGAAAGCAAGGGAUAUUCGGACCUUUCGCGUUUGAAUUAGCCGAGGUCGGAUUAGCUAGUUGGCUGGGUAAGGGCCCACCAAGGCGACGAUACGUAGCGGGACUGAGAGGAUGAUCAGCCACACUGGAACUGAGACACGGUCCAGACUCCUACGGGAGGCAGCAGUGGGGAAUAUUGGACAAUGGGCGCAAGCCUGAUCCAGCCAUACCGCGUGGGUGAAGAAGGCCUUCGGGUCGUAAAGCCCUUUUGUUGGGAAAGAAAAGCAGUAGGUUAAGACACCGCUGUUCUGACGGUACCCAAAGAAUAAGCAACGGCUAACUUCGUG
Molecule: ribosomal RNA, 492 nt
Filed under: uncultured bacterium
Lineage: Bacteria
Description: partial 16S ribosomal RNA
Rfam family: Bacterial small subunit ribosomal RNA
Source: RNAcentral